CUCCGUUUUAAUUUUUCUUGAGGUAACAUUGGUUACCGCCUCUCAGCUCGAAAUUCACUCUUUUGUUACUUGCUCUGUGAAAAGUGCUAUGGGUCCUUUAAAUAAUUUUUCCUUGGCCAGCUCGUGUGAUGUUAGGCUUUCCUAAUUGAUGGCACCUGAGGAAGGUGUUGCUUCGUGAUGCCCCGGUGCUUGCUGGGAAGGCUCUUGGUGGCAUCUUCAGCACCCACUCACUCCUGCAGCACCGAGGGUGUCCUCAGCCCUGCUCCCGGGGCUCACAACUUCUCCAGUAGUCGGCUUCAGCAGUGCGCAGAGAGAGCAGUGGACGACAGCUUCCGUCAGCAUCUUCUAUCAAGCAGUUUUGGAGUAGCGCCUCAGAUGAAGACACUGAGGAAGAGAAAAGUUAAGAAUUUGCCUAUGAUCAGUUAUCCAUCUGUUCAGCCAGUGCACAAAUUACACUGCCCAACUCCAAGAUCAGGAGAAUCUUGGUACCAGGACCACACAAUGAAGAACUUGGAGUCCCCAUGGCUAAUCCAGUAGAGAGAAAAGGAGAAACAGAGAUGCGAGAGAAAAUAAAUGGAACUCUUGGUGCAAUUUGGUGCUGCUGCAGGCCCAAGUCCAGAUUUCUCUGUGUGUGUGUCCCCAUGAUGAAAACAUCAUUAAAGUAAAAUAUCAUGAAUAGACUCUUAAGAAGCAGAGUCUACUUAAAGUCCUGGAAAAUAUGAAAGCACUAAUAUUCACGAACAACUCUACACUCUGAAAGUUACUCCAAAUUUUGUUGAUCUCUCUUUUGUCUAGGAGUUUUUCAAAUUUUCUACCAUGAUCAUUUGUUAGUUUUAUAAUUAAUUAGUAAAGGCAUUACAUCAUACAAUCUUUUGUUAUCCAUUGCAGUUUUAAAACUAUUCCUUUCCUUGUCCUCAGCAGAUAUGUCAUAGAUUAUUAGUACACAAGCAAAGACUUUCAACGUAACAGUACUUUAUAGUGAGAAGAACUAUACUGAGCUAUCUCUAUCCUAAGACAAUGCACUAGAAAAGCACUAGGACUUCUUAAGCACUAGGAAUACAGAGACGAUCAAGGGGCAAGUUCCUUGCCUUCGAGUAUAUAUAAUCAUUAUAGCAAAUGCUUAAAUAGCACUUAGUAUAUAACUCACCACAGCAGUCUUAUUAUCCUCCUUUUUAAUAGGUGAGCAGAGGAAGCCACAGGGAAGUCAUAGGGUAAAGCCAGAAUUUGAACCUAGGUAGGCUAGUACAUUCUCCACGGCUUUAACUAUUACGUUAAAAUAUAUAUAUAUAUAUAUAAGUUUUAUAUAUAUAUAUAUAUAACUCCAAGUAUUCCAAAGUUACAAAACACUUAUCUACCAAAACUCAAAAAGGAGCACACAAACUUGCAUAGAAAAUAAACAUGUAAAAGUUCAUAAAGAAACCACAAUAUAACCUGCUCCACAUAAUAUACUGACUGCAGUGUACUGGGCCUCUCCCAUCCUUAGGUAGAUGGAAAUUACAACAAAAUAAUACUUUUCACCCUUGGAAGCCACAGCAUC
Molecule: long non-coding RNA, 1537 nt
Organism: Orcinus orca (killer whale)
Lineage: Eukaryota; Metazoa; Chordata; Mammalia; Artiodactyla; Delphinidae
Exons: 4
Source: RefSeq, a predicted model, not a curated record